RNAcentral lists this ribosomal RNA (254 nucleotides) under uncultured bacterium. RNAcentral describes it as "partial 16S ribosomal RNA". It matches the Rfam family "Bacterial small subunit ribosomal RNA", at positions 524 to 776 of the family's 1533-position model. The record is from RNAcentral.
UACGUAGGGUGCGAGCGUUGUCCGGAAUUAUUGGGCGUAAAGAGCUCGUAGGCGGUGUGUCACGUCGUUCGUGAAAACCUGCAGCUUAACUGUGGGCGUGCGGUCGAUACGGGCAUCACUGGAGUUCGGCAGGGGAGACUGGAAUUCCUGGUGUAGCGGUGAAAUGCGCAGAUAUCAGGAGGAACACCGGUGGCGAAGGCGGGUCUCUGGGCCGAAAUUGACGCUGAGGAGCGAAAGCGUGGGGAGCGAACAGG